GACGAACGCUGGCGGCGUGCUUAACACAUGCAAGUCGAACGAUGAAGCUGGAGCUUGCUCUGGCGGAUUAGUGGCGAACGGGUGAGUAACACGUGAGAAAUCUGCCCUUGACUCUGGGAUAACUGCGGGAAACUGUAGCUAAUACCGGAUACUUUCCCUGGUGGGCAUCACUGGGGAAGAAAGAAUUUCGGUCAAGGAUGAUCUCGCGGCUUAUCGGCUUGUUGGUGAGAUAAUGGCUCACCAAGGCGACGACGGGUAGCCGGCCUGAGAGGGUGACCGGCCACACUGGGACUGAGACACGGCCCAGACUCCUACGGGAGGCAGCAGUGGGGAAUAUUGCACAAUGGGCGCAAGCCUGAUGCAGCAACGCCGCGUGAGGGAUGAAGGCCUUCGGGUUGUAAACCUCUUUUAGCAGGGAAGAAGCGAAAGUGACGGUACCUGCAGAAAAAGCACCGGCUAACUACGUGCCAGCCGCCGCCGUAA
Molecule: ribosomal RNA, 483 nt
Filed under: uncultured bacterium
Lineage: Bacteria
Description: partial 16S ribosomal RNA
Rfam family: Bacterial small subunit ribosomal RNA
Source: RNAcentral